RNAcentral lists this long non-coding RNA (1172 nucleotides) under Nicotiana benthamiana. RNAcentral describes it as "long non-coding RNA (NBEN_LNC041879)". Lineage: Eukaryota; Viridiplantae; Streptophyta; Magnoliopsida; Solanales; Solanaceae. The record is from RNAcentral.
ACUAGUGUUCUGUAGUUUUUACUAUGGUAAUUUGUGGAUAUAUGGAAUUUUUAGGCUUUGUUUACUCAAUUAUUGUUGAAAGUGUGAGUGGAAUUAUGGUUUCUAUUUUAGACAGUCCUGUUAGUUUUAUCAAGGUAAGUUCAGUUUGAUUUUUUUGAAUUUUGGGAGUCGAGAAAAUUUAGGCAGUGUGCUACUCGAUUAUGUUGAAAGAAUGAAUAGAAGUUAUGGUCUUCUAGUUUGUAUUGUUAUGGUAAUUUCAGAUUAAUUUUUGAAUUUUGAGACAAGCAGUUUUAGGAUUGUGUUACUAUAUAUGUUGAAACUGCUGAUGGAAGUUGUGGUCAUUUAGUUAGUCUAAUGUUAUAAUGCCAUUCUUUUAAAUUCAGGUUUAUUGUGAUUUUUUAUUAUUGCAGGAGUACCUAUGCUUUAUUAUUUUGUUUUGUUUUGCUUGUGUUUCUAAUUUUACCUUUGUUUUCGUAAUGCAGCUUUCCCUCUUUUUAUCCUACACGCCGAGGGUCGUUUGGAAACAGCCUCUCUGCCCUUACGAGCAGGGGUAAGGCUCGUCUACAUAUUACCCUCCCCAUACCCCACCUGGUGGAAUAACUGGGUAGUUGUUGUUGUUGUUGUUGUUUAUUGUGAUUUUGGGACUACAGAAAUUAUAGGCUUACGCUAGCCGAUUAUGUUGAAAGUGGAUAUGGAAGUUUCUUUUAGUUCAACUAAUGCUGUGUUGCUUUCAUUAUGGUAAUUUAUGGUUGAUUUUGAAGUUCGAUACCGGAGAAGUUUUAGGCUUUUGCUACUCGAUAGACUGAGAACUUGAAUGGAGGUUGUGAUUGUCUAGUUUGACUAAUGUUAUGUAGUUUUUUUAUUCACCAAUUUUUGUGUAGUUUUCAUUAUGGCAAAUUUGGUAUUUUUUAGAUUUUAUGGAAAUUUUAGGCGUUUGCUACUCAAUUAUAGUUGAAAGUGUGAGUUAAGUUAUGGCUUUGAGUUUGACUACUGUGCUGCCAUUUUCCUUAUGGUGAUUUUAGGUUAAUGUUGAAUUAAGAAGACUUUGAGAGUAUGUAAAAGCUUUGAAUUGCUAGUGGAAGUAACGGUCCUUUAAUUUUCUGAAAAUUCUGUAAUUUACAAUAGCAAGUGGUAGAAUUUGGAUUACUAUUGCAUUUCGUUUCCACCUAUUG